AUGCACGCUGGCGGCGUGCUUAACCCAUGCAAGUCGCACGAAGCACUUUAUUUGAUUUCCUUCGGGACUGAUUAUUUUGUGACUGAGUGGCGGACGGGUGAGUAACGCGUGGGUAACCUGCCUUGUACAGGGGGAUAACAGUUGGAAACGGCUGCUAAUACCGCAUAAGCGCACAGCAUCGCAUGAUGCAGUGUGAAAAACUCCGGUGGUAUAAGAUGGACCCGCGUUGGAUUAGCUAGUUGGUGAGGUAACGGCCCACCAAGGCGACGAUCCAUAGCCGACCUGAGAGGGUGACCGGCCACAUUGGGACUGAGACACGGCCCAAACUCCUACGGGAGGCAGCAGUGGGGAAUAUUGCACAAUGGGCGAAAGCCUGAUGCAGCGACGCCGCGUGAGCGAAGAAGUAUUUCGGUAUGUAAAGCUCUAUCAGCAGGGAAGAUAAUGACGGUACCUGACUAAGAAGCACCGGCUAAAUACGUG
RNAcentral lists this ribosomal RNA (480 nucleotides) under uncultured bacterium. RNAcentral's name for it is "partial 16S ribosomal RNA". It matches the Rfam family "Bacterial small subunit ribosomal RNA", at positions 29 to 507 of the family's 1533-position model. The record is from RNAcentral.